Molecule: ribosomal RNA, 404 nt
Filed under: uncultured bacterium
Lineage: Bacteria
Description: partial 16S ribosomal RNA
Rfam family: Bacterial small subunit ribosomal RNA
Source: RNAcentral
AUUGAACGCUGGCGGCAGGCCUAACACAUGCAAGUCGAGCGAGCGGCGGACGGGUGAGUAAUGCCUGGGAAUUGCCCAGUCGAGGGGGAUAACAGUUGGAAACGACUGCUAAUCCCGCAUACGCCUGGCUUGCCCAGGUGGGAUUAGCUAGUGGGUGAGGUAAUGGCUCACCAAGGCGACGAUCCCUAGCGGGUCUGAGAGGAUGGUCAGCCACACUGGAACUGAGACAGGGCCCAGACUCUUACGGGAGGCAUCAUGGGGGAAUAUUGCACAAGGGGGGAAACCCUGAUACAGCCAUGCCGCGUGUGUGAAGAAGGCCUCCGGGUUGUAAAGCACUUUCAGCGAGGAGGCGUUACUCGCAGAAGAAGCACCGGCUAACUCCGUGCCAGCAGCCGCGGUAAUUC